AAGUCGUAACAAGGUUUCCGUAGGUGAGCCUGCGGAAGGAUCAUUACAGUAGUCACCCGGGGCGCCGCAAGGCCUCCCGGGUAACCUACCACCCUUUGUUUAUUACACUUUGUUGCUUUGGCAGGCCUGCCCUCGGGCUGCUGGCUCCGGCCGGCGAGCGCUUGCCAGAGGACCUAAACUCUGUUUGUCUAUACUGUCUGAGUACUAUAUAAUAGUUAAAA
Molecule: unclassified non-coding RNA, 221 nt
Filed under: plant metagenome
Description: partial contains small subunit ribosomal RNA and internal transcribed spacer 1
Rfam family: Eukaryotic small subunit ribosomal RNA (bases 1-46)
Source: RNAcentral